Wyeomyia smithii (pitcher-plant mosquito) is the source of this 4354-nucleotide long non-coding RNA. RefSeq lists it as uncharacterized. The record is from RefSeq and is a predicted model, not a curated record. The transcript has 5 exons. Lineage: Eukaryota; Metazoa; Arthropoda; Insecta; Diptera; Culicidae.
AUAAACGAAGACUUUUUUCAUGCGCAUGUCGUACGCUUUACUUGUUGCUUGUUUCUCGCGUUAAAUAACCGGUAGAAUGAGAAAAUUCGUCCAUCAGUAACAAAUACAGUUAAGCAGAUAUUAAAUGAUGUCUCCUUGUGAUCAAAAGUGGUGUUAGAACAGCUUGCAAACGUUCUACCGUGACGUUUCGUUGCAGCGGCAAGUGGUCGGGAAAAAUGCGAAUGACACGGAAAAGAUCUCUAAUAACUAAAGAGCGUUUAGUUCUGACAGUCUGCAAUUUCCUAAAGGACAAUUCACGUAAAGUUAAUUGCAAUAUAAAGGCAAAAUAAUUUUCGUUUCCUACUGCAGUUGGGCGUUGACUUGUGUUUUUGUUUUUAAGUUACAAAUGAUGCCAAGGACUUUUGAAAUUCAAUCCGGAAAUAUCGCUACGGUUUUGCCUUUCUCCUAGAAAGGUAUAGCAAUUACUGCAAAAACUAAAUAUAUGAAAGUGCUCCAGAGGGCGGAAGGUCGUAUAUCACUCGACUUAGUUCGACGAGAUGAGCAUUUUCUGUCUGUAUGUAUGUAUGUGUGUAUGUGUGUGCGUGUGUGUGUGUGUGUGUGUGUGUGUAUGUGCAACUUUUUAUUCUGACUCACUUUUCUCAGAGAUGGCUAGACCGAUUUCCGUGAAAUUAAUUGCAAAGGUGUAGUUACCCCAUAGGAUGCUAUUGAAUUUCAUUGUAAUCGGAUUUUUGGUUUAGAGGUUAUGUAUCAAAAUGUAAAAAUCACGAAACAUCAAUAUCUCAGAAACUACACAACAAAACUGAUGUCAAAUGAACGGGCUAUCUUCAAAACUCUUAACUUAUAAAUUUCAUAAAGAUUAAACAUAUGGUUCAAAAGUUAUGUAAAGAAAUGUUUUCCAGAGGCUUUUUAAACUCACUCAUUUUUCUCAGAGAUGGCUGGACCGAUUUUCACAAAACUAGCCUCAAUUGAAAGACCUAGUUGUCAUAUAGGUUGCUAUUGAAUUUCAUUGUGAUCGGUUUGUAACUUUGUCCGUUAUUUAUAAAAAUGUCAAAUCACGUUAUAAAAGCAAAGCAUAUAUCGAAAACUGCUUAAACUCACUUAAUUUUCUCAGAAAUGGCUAGACCGGUUUUCACGAAAUUAGUUGAAAAUGAAAGGUCUAGUGGACUCAUAACACCCUAUUACCCCUAACCCUUAACUUUUGAAUUUUAUGAAGAUUGAACUUGUGGCUCAGAAGUAAUGGAAAGAAACGUGUUCUGGAGACUAUUUAAUCUCACUCAUGUUUCUCAGAGAUGGCUGGACCGAUUUUCAUAAAAUCAGUGUCAUAUGGAAGUUCUUGUUGCCCCAUAAGACCCUAUUGAUUUUUCUUACAAACGGAUUAUUACUUCGCCUGUUAUGUUUAAAAAUGUGAAAUUCAGCUAUAAAAAGAAACAUAUUCCGAAGACUACAUAAACUCACUCACUUUUUUCAGAGAUGGUUGAAGCGAUUUCCACAAAAUUAGUGUCAAAUGAAAGGUUUAGCUGCCUCAUAACACCUUAUUGAAUUUUGCUGUAAUCGGACUGUAACUUCGUCUGUAAUGUAUCGAAAUGUGAAAAUCACGAAACUUCAUUAUCUUAGAAACUACACAACCGAUUUGAACAAUAUUGAUAUCAGAUGAACAGGCUAGUUAAGGGUUAACUGAUGAAAUAUGAUUGAACACGUGGUUUCAAAGUUUGGCUGCCCUAUACGUUCCCUUUUCAUUUGAUUAUAAUCGAACUUAAGCAACCAUUAUUCAUUAAAUUGUCAAAACAACGAAAGUCUAUUAUCAAGACUUGGUUGAACAUAAGUAGUGUCAUACAAACGAGUCAUCUCUCAAACUUACAAAUAACAAACUUCAUAACAAUUUGAUAUGUGGUUCAAAAGUUUUGGAAAGAGAAUAAAUUCAAAGACUAUUCAAAACUAUACCUGCUUUGAUCAAUAUAUAUGGCCUCAACAUGAUUUAAAUGUGGCAUCGUAGUAUUUGAACGUUCCCGUUAUCGCUCGUGAUUAAAUUGUUCGAAAUUAAGAGUCAUUUCAUUUAUUUCGCUGUUUUUUAAGGACUAACAUUGCGUCAAAUUUCAUAUUUCAUACUUCAAUUACAACAUCAAUAUUUUGGAACCCAAAGAGUGAAUAUACUUUUAUUGGAUUUCAGCAUUAAUGUAAAUCUAUUUUUACAAAUAAUAAGUUUGAAUGAGAAAGGCUGAGUCUGACCGCUAGGUGGAUUAAUUUAGGUUUUUUUCCCUGGUGCUACAUUUCGUAUCGGAAUUCGAUUGUUUUACUUUACACAGACUUCGCAGCCGACUCCAGCAUCGUACCUUGAGACCAGCUGGGAGAUUCCGGCAGCAAUGGUUACGGAUAAAAAAAAAUUAUUUCGAUCAGUUCAUGACCUUCUCGAAGAAGAUGGGCUGGAAUAUUUAACGAUGCUCGCCAUGUUUUUAAUGGGGAUGAAAUAGGUUUUUGUCUUGAUCCGGAUACAAAAACAGGGAUCAUUCCCAAAAAGUCUAAAAAUGCCUAUUUGAUUAGCACAGGCUCGAAAAAAUAUUACUGUUCUGAAUAGCUACGGUGUAGCUGGCGUAGCGGUGCCUCCUUGUGUCAUUCUACCGUAUCAUUGAUUACCUAAUGCUGUAGUCCAAAGUUGCCCUCCCGAAUGGAGUUUGUGUAAAUCAGAAACCGGAUGGAUGACAGAAGAUACAUUUUUGGCCUAUAUCAGGAACAUAUCAUAUCCAUACUUACUGAAAAAAAAAAUUCAACUGCCAAUAUUUAUAUUGUUGACGGACACCGGAGUCAUACUCCGUUCGAAACAGCAGAAGAAUGGGCGAAGCUCGGAAUAAUCCUGGUGUGUUUGAACGCAAGCAGCACACACAUUAUGCAGCCAGCAGACGAUACUAUAUUUUGCUCUCUUAAAGCAAAACUGCAUUAUUUGCUCAAGUUCGCCUGUGGCAACUGGACAAUCCAGGUCACAAUUCGGUAAUAAUAUAAAGAAAGCAAUUACCGCUGUUUCAAUUACUUUGCCUGCCCAUUUACCUGCACGGCGAGAAAAGGAUGUGGUUAUUCCACGCCAGCUUCUAAUUGAAUCGAUGCAGCUGAUCGUCCUGAGAAAGCAAUUUUAUAUCGAGAGAUUCAGGUUUUAAAAUCAUUUCCGAUAGAGUCGGAAAGCAUUUUAUGUAAACUGUAUAAAUAGACAUUUUAAGAGUGGGAUGAUCGGAACUUUGAUUUGUAAGAAUUUACUGUGGAAUCCUCUAAUGCUGGUAGCCAUAUUGAUAUCUUGAGAAAUAGUGGGGACGAUGUAAAUAUUAUCAUGUUUAACGAGGAGAAAACUUUUGAGACUGAAGAGAGGAAGUUUUCAAACACUGCAGAAACCAUGUUUUUCGAUGAUUCUGUAAUACAACUCUCAGUGACAUCUGAUAAUUCAUCACACCUGAACCUUUUGAAAGUGAGCGGUGCUCCUAAAUUUGUGUCCUUUAAUAUUACUGAUCCUACGGUUACUGUGGAAGUGAACUCAAUAAAAAUUGAACCAGUUACAGAAACGAGUGAAACUGAAUUUCAUCAACAUUGAUUUUGGAGAAAUGCUCAUCACAGUCGAUACUCAAAAUCAUGAAUAUUCCGAUCAUUGUGCCGCUGAAAAGGAUUCAGCCCAUGCAGAAUCUGAGCUUACCACAUCAGUUUCAUUUUCUGGGAAUGAACAGACUUUAUAUUCAACAGAGAUCACUAGAAAUAUCUCACAGAAAAAGGUAUAUCGCGGUUUCUUACUGAACCUGACACGCUCAAGAAAAAAAAUAAAAAAUCAAAUGACAAAAGAGUCCUCUAGUUUCAACUUCGAAGAAGCGUUUGGAGUUACAUCUUCAAAAAGAACAAAAGAAAGAGAAUAUGAGAUUGGAAAAACUUUUGAAAGUAGAAAACAAACAUAUGGGAAAGAUUAAGCGAGCAUAUGAGAAACAAUUAAUGAUGAAUAAAAAAGUGACUGAUAAGUUUCAACGUUCAACCAUCAUUUAGAUAGUUUAAGCAAACAGCAUGAUAUCAAGCCACUACAAAGCGUUUAUAAUGACAUCAGCUACAAAUGUGCCGUUAAUUUGUUUUCUUGCUGACUAAUGAACUAAAAUUAAGUCGAACUGUUGGACAUGGCGCCGGUUCUCCGCGGGUCGCAAGUUAGGAUACUGUAUCAAGUCACCUCCCCGGGCGUCGGUGACUGGCACAACAACAGUGGCGGAACUAGACCGACGGAAAAUAAGCGAGAAUAGAAAAAUCAUCAUCAUCGAAGUAGGCGUGUGCGUUGCGAAUAGACGUCAUUUUUCGAGUCCGCGUUUUUUUUUCAGAGGAACCCGGGUAAAAUAUUAUAUAA